GGACGGUUAGCUCAGCUGGCUAGAGCACCUGCUUGACGUGCAGGGGGUCACAGGUUCGAGUCCUGUACCGUCCACCA
This 77-nucleotide transfer RNA is filed under the name Clostridiales bacterium. Its description in RNAcentral is "tRNA-Val". It matches the Rfam family "tRNA". Rfam says of the family: Transfer RNA (tRNA) molecules are approximately 80 nucleotides in length. Their secondary structure includes four short double-helical elements and three loops (D, anti-codon, and T loops). Further hydrogen bonds mediate the characteristic L-shaped molecular structure. tRNAs have two regions of fundamental functional importance: the anti-codon, which is responsible for specific mRNA codon recognition, and the 3' end, to which the tRNAs corresponding amino acid is attached (by aminoacyl-tRNA synthetases). tRNAs cope with the degeneracy of the genetic code in two manners: having more than one tRNA (with a specific anti-codon) for a particular amino acid; and 'wobble' base-pairing, i.e. permitting non-standard base-pairing at the 3rd anti-codon position. RNAcentral also lists the same sequence under 3 other names. The record is from RNAcentral. Lineage: Bacteria; Bacillati; Bacillota; Clostridia; Eubacteriales.